GCUAUAAGAUUUGAUUUGCAAUCAAAUAUUAAUUAAAUUAUAUUUAAUAUAGUCUAA
Molecule: transfer RNA, 57 nt
Filed under: Ammothea clausi
Lineage: Eukaryota; Metazoa; Arthropoda; Pycnogonida; Pantopoda; Ammotheidae
Description: tRNA-Ala
Source: RNAcentral